AUCUAGCUGACAGGUCCAAAAUAAGAUGAAACGCGUGUCCUGGAU
Non-coding RNA from Schistosoma haematobium, 45 nucleotides. NCBI's taxonomy places the organism in Eukaryota, Metazoa, Platyhelminthes, Trematoda, Strigeidida, Schistosomatidae. The record is from Rfam.